RNAcentral lists this long non-coding RNA (1094 nucleotides) under Gossypium barbadense (sea-island cotton). RNAcentral's name for it is "long non-coding RNA (GBAR_LNC015983)". The record is from RNAcentral. Lineage: Eukaryota; Viridiplantae; Streptophyta; Magnoliopsida; Malvales; Malvaceae.
UCGAAUAUCAUCUUUAAAAUGAACCCUAUGAAACAUAUGGCUAAACCCAGAAUUUCUUUCUAUUCAAUUUUUUCCUUAAAAGUGAACUUUAUCCAAAAUUGCGAGGAAAUGGUGUCGAAGAGCACAAAGAAUAGACAACAAAGGACAAGAAUGCUAGAAAAUAGCAUUUAACCUCGGGCAACUUUGGGUUCGAUUUUCUGGGGUCAGUGCUAUAGAAUGGCAAGAGAUCUAGCACUCAAGCUUCAUUGGAAGAGAGAACCAAGCCAACCAUGUGAAUCCAUUUUAAUACUCCCAAUUUUGGCUCUAAAAGAUCCCAUUUUUUCCCUUUCUAUUUGUUGGAACAUAGAUUCUCAACGCCUAGGAUUCUGAAUAUUUUAGACAUCUUUCUAUUUGUAUUGAUAGGAGGGGAGUUUGGGUUAGGACUGUUUCAUGUUUUGCAAUCUUUCAAAAUGCCAAGUAAUGUAUCUUCCCUGUGUUUUUCUUUUUUGUUUCUUGUCAGUAUUUUUUUUUUAUUUCCCUGGUGUCACUCUAAGUUUAAAUUUUAGUAAUUGACAUGGAACCGUGCAUGUUGUAUGUCGGAUAUAUUGCAUUAGUUAUUCCUUUUACGAUGUUUUGACUUUGGCACAUGCAUGCCUACAUAUUCUUCUAAUAAUCUUCAUAUAUCAAGUCAUUCAUUCAUUGUCACGUAAAAUACUGAACUGUCUUUUAACACUUUUUUUUUUAUAUUUGUUGAUUUGGUAUUGGAAUGCCGCUCUGACAUUCUUUUCACUCUAUUUAUUUUUCUAUGUUAAUCAAAAUUCAACUCUCUAUAUAUCUUCCGCAUGAGUGAUUAAAAUUUUAUAUUGAUAACUUGAUGUCUAGAGUUGAAGCUUUAACAAUGAAAUCCCCAAUUUGUAAUGUAUCAAAAAAGAGAGAAACUUCAACUCUAAAAUUUGCUUAUAUCUUUUAAUUGGAUCCAUGAUUAUUACAUUGAAAAGUUUUAUUUUCAUUUCUUAGCACCAUUACAGAAUCGCACUUUUUGUAAUUGAAGCUACCUAAAUUAAAAGGGGAGGUGGCCUUCAAAGAUUUAUAAAAGAGAAGAUGAUAGAUUGAGC